GGAGGCCCCUGAAGUAAAGUCCUCCGUCAUUGUUAACAGUAAACAGCUGUUUUUAGUUCACGACUUUAAACCCUCAAACAAAGUAUGUUUCACUCCUAACGGGUGACUUACAUCUAAUGACUCACAUUUAGUGACUCACAUUUAAUGACUACAGUUAGACGGUUGUUCGUGCCUGGGAAAGCAACCGUUUGGGGAAAACGUGCGCCUUGUGUUUUUUCUGCGUAUUGUCUGAUUGUCGCCUCAGUCUGCCUGGCAGGCAGGACAUCUGGGCAAAAAACUAAAACACAGCGUCAUAAAACAGUGUUUUUAUAAGUUAUAAAUGAAGAAAUUUAACAACAAUUUUCAGCUUUAAGAAAGCAGAUCACGAACGACGGAUUUUAGUGACCGUUUCACAAAAGCAGUUUUUGAAGAAUUAGUUUGACAAAUGAUUGGCGUCAUAAAUUGCAGAUUUUUCUGCCUGUUGCUGUGAUUUUCUGCCCAGAUCUGGAAGGUUGUAGAAAUCCGUCCAGCGAGCCGCUGCAGGAUCAGCAGCGCUGCGGCGAGAAGGCUUUCUACGACCUCUGAACGUCCAUCAAACUGCCUGCCAGGCGGCAUGUUGGGGUUGCUGUUUCUCACAUCAGAAGAACUUUUUUUAUUUAUCUUUUUUACUUUAAGUUAACUUUUAUGAACAGAUUCAUUCAGAGAACUUGUGCUGCGGACACCGGUGAGCAGUGAGCUGAUGUUUCUGAGCGAGGACAAGCUGGUUGAUUGUCACUAAGACUCCCCGUCUUAGUGACAAUGUCUGAAACGGCGGCGGGCAGCUCGGUGGCGUGUCCGGCCGCAGCUCUGGGGAAACAAGAGCCUGUCAAUCACUUCUUCGGGUGUUCGGCCACGAAACCAACCAUCAGUUUCUAAAAAUGGAGAAAAAGCUGCCAGACCCAGAGCAGCAGACGACCCUCAGGCUGCAGAAACUCUCAUGGACGUCCUCGUGGUCGGAGGAGCUGUGUUCCCCGAGGGGAGGAAAGUGGGUUUGAAUUCGCUGAAAAAAAUCUGAGAGGAAAUGAAAGGAUGCUUCUUACUGAACGAUUCAUUUCCUGUUUGGAUGAAGUCGCAGGAAACGGAGGAGGAACAUCAAGUGAUAAGUUUCCUUCUUUUCUGGGUUUAUUUCUGUAAUGUCACCUCAUGGCCCUGCUGGAGGUCUUAACCCUCAGAUUGAACACCGCCGUCGUAUCCUCCCUUCACUUGGUGAAUAUUUAAAAGCAUUGGAGGCUCUCCGGAGGGGUCCUCUCUGCAGGGAGGGGGCCGAUCCUUCGCCUGCAGGAGAGAAACAUCGACAGAAACCAAAAGCGUAUUUCUUUGUCUUUAUUUCUGUUUCUGAAGAGACUGCCAUCGUCUCCGUGCUGAAGCCUCUGCUGACUGAGCGCAGCGGGAUCACAUCUGACUGUGAUGGAUGGAUUUUACUUUUUUGGGUUGAAAGUUUUCUAUAAAGGAUUCGGGGCCUCGCAGACAUCAGAGAUGGAAAAUAUAAAAAAGGCCCAGCAGGAUUUCAUCAGCGCACAACUGAGAACCGCUGAAGAGUUUCAUUUCAACAAUAAUAAGGAUCCAUUUUUUAAAUUAGCCCGUCGUCGUUCUGUCUAACUCGGGUUUUAUUUUCAUGGCGUUUUAUCUUCGCUGGCACUGAGUCGCCUGCUGAGCUUCAAAAAGCGUCAAGAUUUCUGUUAAUGCUGGAGAAUCUGUUCAGUGACAACAGUGACGGAUAAAAACGUUGUUUUCAUAGCAAACAUUUCUGACUCUUUGAAGCAGAAAAUCUGUCCCCUUUUUCAAAUUUGGACAGAAUGUUUCUCAUAUUUCUGGAUUCAAAACAUCCAAAUUUGCACUUUCUGCGUCUUCUGUCUUCACCUCGACUACCUGGAGUCUUUUAAUCCAAAUUUGGACACAAUUUCACAAUUUUGGACACAAAAUGUUCCCAAAAAGAGACGCUUGUCUGUCCCGUCUAAGCUUCACCCAGGCUCUGUCUUUUUUAAUUUUCUAUUACACAUUUAAAAAAGAAAGCAUUCUACCCCAAACUGAUUUAAAUGCCUUUAGAGGAGCGUAACCCGACUCCACCCGGAUAUUUAAAAAAUCAUCUGUCAAAUUUGGACAAAAAUACCUUUUUGGGUCGAGCGCGCUGGAAUCACCAACGCUGGCUGUGAUUGGCUGAGACGCUGGCACAGUUUUAUGUUUUUUUGGGAUUUUCUUGCUCUUCAGUCGUCCUCAGUUUGUCUGAGGGGAAAUGAAGCUUCUGAUGGAAAGAUCCUCGAUCUUAUUCUGAAAAUGUAAAGUCUAUACACACACACACACACACUUUUAUUAUUGUUCCCCACAGCAGUGAGGACACACACACGCACACACUCAAUGAUAUACAGUAUAAAAGUGUAACCACACCUAAAGUACUGCCUUUGUAUUCACAUGCACGUCUUGUAAGCGCACACACACACACACUGCUAAAUGAAACAUAAUGCAUACACUUUUUGUCUCCACACACACACACAUGCACACACGCACACACACACAAUCCCAGCCGCUCACUGCCGAACCACACCCUCCAACCGACUUCACUUCCUGUCUCUUUUUCACCUUUUUCCAUCUCAAGCUCACCUGUAUUCACUUUAUCUUCCUGCAGGCUUUCUUAUCAUUGUGGCUUCUCCCUCAAUCUGACGUUUCUUUAAAUUUAAUUUAGCUUCACAGGCCUGACGGGUGAAAUACAUUUGUGUUGCAGUAGCAUAAGAAAAAUACUCGAUAAAGGAAGAAAGAGCAAUAAAAAGGAGGACGUCUCUGUCUUAUCUCGCCUCUCGCUGGAAGAACUCUCAUUACUCUGCUGUCAGCUGCUGCAGGAGGGAAAGAAAUCUGUAUAGAGGCUUUUAUUUAAGUCGUAGGACAGGUGUGUGCAUACCCGGUGUUACGCUGUGGGGACCGAUGUAGGUUUACACACCUACAUUGUGGGGACUUGCAGCCCAUUCAAACAAACAAGGCUAGUUUAAGUUUUUUACUUUGGGUCAAAUUUUGGUUUUAGGGUGGUUUAUCUCUUCUUACUUGCCUACAUUGUGGGGACACAUUGACUGGUUUAUACACCUACAUUGUGGGGACACACUGACCGGUUUACAUAUUACAUUGUGGGGACACGCUGACCAGUUUAUACACCUACAUUGUGGGUACUACUGACUGGUUUAUACACCUACAUUGUGGGGACACACUGACCAGUUUAUACACCUACAUUGUGGGGACACACUGACUGGUUUAUACACCUACAUUGUGGGGACACACUGACUGGUUUAUACACCUACAUUGUGGGUACUACUGACUGGUUUAUACACCUACAUUGUGGGGACACACUGACCGGUUUGCACACUACAUUGUGGGGACACACUGACCGGUGUACACACUACAUUGUGGAGACACACUGACCAGUUUAUACACCUACAUUGUGGGGACACACUGACCAGUGUACACACUACAUUGUGGGGACACACUGACCAGUUUAUACACCUACAUUGUGGGGACACGCUGACAGGGUUACACACCUACAUUGUGGGGACACACUGACCGUUUUACACACCUACAUUGUGGGGACUUGUGUCCAAUAUCAGCCAAAUAAGGGUGUUAAAGUUUUUUUUUUUAGGGAUAGCGUUUGGUUUUAGGUAACUUCUUACGUUAUGGGGACAAACUAAAGUUUAUACACCUACAUUGUGGGAACUCACUGACCUGUGUCUACACCUACGUUGUGGUGAAUCAAUUUCGGACAAGUAAGGGUGUUUUUAGUUUUUUCUUUAUGUUCAUAUUUUAGGGCGGUUCAUCUAGUCUUAUGUUGUGGGGACAAUCAUAGCUUUACACACCUACAUUGUGGGGACUAGGGCCGAGAACAUGCUUUGUUAUUUCCGUACCUUGAGUGAAGCUUUUUUUCUGAACACCGCAACAUAGUGUUUACAUUUCAGUUACAAAUAUUCACUUCACUUAUCCUGUUGGUUACAGGUGAAGAUCAGUUAAUCUGAUUUUAGCCCAUUUAGUCCUACAUCUUAAUUAUUCUGCUGCUGUGUGUUAAUAUAGCUUGUUUUCCCGGGAUGACAGUGAUAACUUUAAUUAUUACCUGCUUAAAGAGCACACCGGGACAUAUGGAAACAACACGGAGAGAGCUGAAUGUGAAGGGGGAAAAAACAUCUGAGAGCACAACUUUUUAAGUCUGUGAGACGACGGAGACAGAAACACAGUGAGAGAAUUUAGCUAAAUCCAUCAAGAUAAACUCGAGAGAGCAGCGAGAGACGAAGAGAAAAGAGAAAGCGAGACAUCAAUUAAGCCUCCACAGCUAAACACAGCAGGCAGAGCCUCAGGCCGACAUCACCCAACAGAAACAUCAAAAAGACGUCAUGAAGAGAGGAAAAUAUACAAGUUGAGACUAAAUAAAAACACAAUGUCUCUCAGUAAUCGUGAGUUUGCAGAGGAAGAAAAAUUAGAAUACAAAUAAGAGAAAAAUUUGCCUGGUGAUAAUUUAAAGCAGGGAAGCCAAAACUGAAACUUAAAGGUGGGUCAAAAGCAAGAUACAAAAUGAUGCAAGUCUCUAAAGGUUCCUUAAUCUAAAUGUCUUUUGUCCAUUUACCAUUUUCUCUGCGUCUUUUUCGACACACAAAAAAUAUUACACUUACAUAUUUAUAUAAAUAAAAUUGCAACCUUACAAUUUUUAUUUUAUUUUUAAAAACAAAAAAAGUAUGCUUUAAAAAUAUUCUAAAAAUUGUAGCGCUUUUGUUCCUUCCUAGUUAUUAUAAAUAUAUCAUUAAUGUAAUUCACUUUGACUACCCAACUCUGGCAGAUAACUAAAGUUGAGUAGCGCUAAAACAAUUAGUCAAUUAAUAUUUAAUUAUAAUUAUAAUAGUCCCACGACGGGGAAAUUUACCCCGAAAGUCUCUAAAGUUUUUAGUAUUAUUGAGAUUAUUGAUUUUGAUUCUUGCAAUACCUUAUGUUGAUAAAAUUAAGAUGAGUUUAAAAAAAAUUCUUAUUCAUACCAAUGACAAAAAGAAUAAAAACGCAAACUAAUUCAAUCAAUUACAUUUCUACUUUAUUAUAUUAAAACAAUUAAUUUUAUAUCAACAACUAAAUUCUAGUUGUUUAAAAUUGAUAUUAAGAAUAAGGAGAAUGCAGAAAAAUUAACACUUAGUGUAAGUUCAAAUUGUAUUCUUGGUACAAAAGUGAAAAACAAUUUUGCUUUACAAACUUUUCUCAUGAUUUUUAUUUCAAGAUUAUUGUUAUUGAACAGUUUAUAUAUUAUAACAUAAACAUUUAGAAUUCAAUUCUUUAUAUUAUCAUUAUAUUUUUUUAUAAAAAUGUUUUACUUAUUAUUAUACCCAUUCAAAUUUAGCAGAAAAUUAUUAGAAAGGUAAUAAAAAAAUAUAUAUAUUUUAUCUCGGGUAUAUAAAUUUGUUAAAAUCACAAUUUCACUCGUCUUGUCAUUUCCGAUCUUCCGUACUUUUGUUGAUUCAUCAGUUUAUUUCCUUCAAAUAGAAAAGAAUCCGUCUAAUUUAAUCACAGACUGUUAUGGAAAGAUGUUCAUACCUUUGUUGUCUUAAUUCAAAUACGUUUCAAACUAACUCACAUUUUGGCGGUGCGUUCACUUUUCUCGUUCAGGUUUCAGCAGAAGCUUGUGUUAGUGCGUCUGAGCCCUUUAAUUCUGCUGUCUGCCUUUCAGCCAUCUUCCUCCUCCCUCUCGACUUUCAGCCUUCCUUUUGCUUACUCAUCCUCUUGAUCACUUUCCUCGUCCUCUUCAUCAUCCUGUCGUCUUCCCACACCUUCGUCCCUCCUCUGUCGCAUCAUAAAGUUCACUGCUCUCCUCCUCCUUGCCUUACACUAAACCUGUUUACAUGGGAUUAGAAACUCCAGCAGUUUGUCGCUGCUGUUUUUUACCCUUUAAAGGAGUCGGGACUGGUUUCUGUUUUCUGGUGUUCAUGUAAAAUUUUGGGAACUAUUAUUUCUUGUUCACAUUUUGCUCGAAGGGAAACAUCCACCCUCAGUGCUGGAUGGAUUACAGACUAUAGAGCAAUGAAGGAAGGUUUUGGCCAAAAAUCUGAGCUGUUAAAUCCAUAAAUGUGAUGUGAAGUGAUGCUAUGCAUGAAGAGAAAAUCUUCAGGUGCCAAGUUUUUUUAGGGGUGUCACGAUUCUCCGAUUUAAAUUUCGCCUUCUAAGGUCACAAUGCACGAUUUUUGAUUUGUAUUUUUUUCCCACUUUGCCAUUGUUAGACUAUGAAAAGGUAAACAUCAACAGAUCAUUAGUUGUAUUUAAUUUGCAAUGCCAAUAAUACAUUUCAGCAGUCAAUAUGCUGCUGCAAGAACGAGUCCUAAAACUCCCAAAAAUGUGUUAGCACUUCCUGUUCCCUUGCCUCGAAGUCGAUGGGUUUUUUAAUCGUUUUUUGGUUGCCUGAAGGUUUACGACAUUUUCUACGACAUAAAAUACAUCAGCAAAUACCCAACUCGUGAAUUUUGAAGCUUUUACGUGUCUUGUCAACAAGUGGCUAAAUGAGACUAAACGUCAUCACGCUAACAUUAGCCACCUUUAGUUUAGCGGUGAUGACGUCAUGUGACCUGCUGUAGCUCCUUUAUAGCCCAACGUUAGCUUUUUACUUCUGGAGAUUGAAUUCACGUUUCAAAAAUCAUAAAAGUGUUAAUCUGUGGAGAUUAUCCUGCUGGACAAAAAUUUUAAAUAUCAUAAACGUUUGUUUGCCACAGAGAUUAUAUUCUGCUUUAAUCCAAAAUCCAACGGUACAUCCCGUACCGUAAAGAGCAGUGUAGACGCACAAUUGAUUUUAAGGGGAGUUAGCAUGACCGCGGUUCUUUGAAACGUGACUGCAGUUACAAAAAGACACCAGAUCUUCGCCGAAUCUCCGACUCCGCCGUUGGCUGUUGUGCUUCAAAAAGUUCCGUCUUUUAAGUGUUUUUGUAUUUUUCUUCGGACGCUCGCAAGUAGGCGUGCGUGAAGAGAAAACAAAAUACUUCCUGCUUUUGAUUUUGAUGAUGGAACUUUAAAACACAUUUUUAUUGAUUUUGCAUCAAAAUCGUGGCACCCAGACAAGUUCUGUUUUUAUGUCUUUUGAAUGUUUGGACUUUGGGUGGAUUUUCCUUCCUGUUGCGUGUGUUUGCCCUGAAACUGUGAAGUCUCUUGUUUUAAAUGCAUUUCUCUUUAAAAACAAACUGCUCCUGUUUUGUUGUUGUUUACAGAAACAAACAACGACGACUGUAAAUGUAAAGUCUUUCUGGGUUUGGAUGAAGCAAUUAAACGUCAGAAGGAAUUUAAACACCACUGAAGUCAAUUCAUUGAAACCUUUUAAUUUGAAAAUACGACACACGCAACAUUAAUUUCUAAAACGACACAGUAUCUUAAUUGAAAUUCAGAAAAGAAAUGGCCUAUUAGAACUAAAUAUUAUUUCAUAAAUAUAAAUGUAAUGGUGUGUAAAGUUUCACAUUUAAUACGAGCAUAAGACACAGACGUGAUUUUCAAAGUAAAAUAUUUCAAUGCUGUGGUUUUUGUGCCUGGGAAUUACAAAAUAUAAUUACAAAAGAUAUUUCCAAAUUCCAAUUUUCAAUGUAUGAAUAAUUAAACGCAGACAUUUCAGUGGUUUUUAAUAAUUUACUUAUUUCCUGUAAUAACUGAAAUGCGUUAAAUUACAACCAUAUUAUUCGUUGUUUGAAGUCACACCCAGCUGUUUUUGUUUUCUUGUUUUUCCUACAGCGUCGAUGACGUGCAGGUUGUGUGUAUAUGUUUGCGUGAUCAGAGCUCCUCUAUAUUUUCUAAGUGGUUGAAAGUUGUCGUAACAAAACCGAAGUGCAGAUUUAUCUUCCUGCCUUCCGUCUGAGCUCUUUUAUGAGUCCGCGCUCUUGUUUUGUAAAGAAAUAAAACUUCCUCUUGGACCAAA
This is a long non-coding RNA of Cottoperca gobio, 7909 nucleotides long. RefSeq lists it as uncharacterized. The transcript is spliced from 2 exons. The record is from RefSeq and is a predicted model, not a curated record. Lineage: Eukaryota; Metazoa; Chordata; Actinopteri; Perciformes; Bovichtidae.